RNAcentral lists this long non-coding RNA (888 nucleotides) under Microcebus murinus (gray mouse lemur). RNAcentral's name for it is "lncRNA (ENSMICG00000048341.1)". Lineage: Eukaryota; Metazoa; Chordata; Mammalia; Primates; Cheirogaleidae. The record is from RNAcentral.
GAGCUUGCCUAUAGUUACUAGGAAUAUCACCAAGAAGACCCUGCAGUUUGGAGCUUUAUGGCAUAUGAGGUGACAGAUCUACAAGGACCGUGCCACUAACACCACAGGGUGGGCAACUUCUAUUUCAUGGAAGAAAAAGACAGACCGAUGACGACUUCAUAAGAAUCUCUGGGACUACCCUCUUGCAUUUAAAACCAUCUCCUUCCAAUAAAAUAAAGAAUACAAGGUCUAUAUUAGAAGAAUUCUUAUAUAGCAAUGAGGAUUGUGAAAGAAGCUAACAAUAUCUUUAGAGAAGAUGGCAGCCGGCUGGGAUCUGGAAGUAACUUGGUCACAUGGGGAGUUAUGGACAAAGACAUCAAGCUGGAUUCCGAGAUUUGUGACAAAACAACUGUGGGACUUCAGGAAAGUCACUUCACCUCUUUGGGUCUCAGCAUCUUCAUCUGCAAAAUGAGGAGUUUGAAUUCUCUAAGACAAAAAAUGUCUCAGAAAGACUUGUAGCUGUGGCUAUUGACCAUUGAAGUGGGCUGGAGUAAGAUUAAAACAUUAAAAAAGCAAAACCAACAAAGAAAAACUGUAAUUGUCCUAGAUAGAUCUAAAGUGCUUUUUAGGUCCUCAAUUUCCCUUGAACAGGAAACGGUCUUAGCAAGUUAAGUGUGGACUACUCACUGGUGCGUGUCUCUGAACUCUUUGCACUGGUCCUUGACAAGAUAAAUACAGAAACUGAGAAGUGUUUAGAAACAUUUAAAUCUGCUUGACAUUGCUGUGACAUCCAAGUGAGCAGCAACAUGAGGAGUGGGGCUCACACUGAGUGGGGUGCAGGCUAGUGAGGUGUUGCCGAACUUGUGCGUGGGGGGUGGUGGGUGCUAUGAGCUGUGGACCAGUCAGUUC